Molecule: long non-coding RNA, 2456 nt
Organism: Cyprinus carpio carpio
Lineage: Eukaryota; Metazoa; Chordata; Actinopteri; Cypriniformes; Cyprinidae
Source: Ensembl
CAGAGAGUAUGCCUGCACUUAAAACGUGUUCAGUGCAAUCGCGAAUCUCUCCUCUUCGCUUAAAGUAAGCGUGUAUGUGCUUAGACUGUGUCCCAUGCGUUUGCGCAUGGCCAAGUACUCUUCUCUUGGAUUUCUUUCUCUUUGCUCUUGGCAUAAACGCUGUCAAAACGGCAACAACCAAUCAGAAAUAGGCUUCAACGACUGACCAAUGAAAACGCGACAUCGUACAUGGAAUCUUAUUGGUUGAUGGGCUCUUUAAAAAACAAUAAUGUUUUGACUAUGAUAGGUGUGAAAACAAUUUUAAUUAAAUUAUUAAAUGAAAUCAUACUCACAAUGUCUCACAAUUUCUUUAAAAAUGCAUUGAUUUGUUAUGAAAAAAAAAGAAUACUAUUAAACAUUUGCAUUUAAAUUACAACUUUUUAAUGUAUAGAAACAACAACAUUACAAAACAAAUACAAUCUGAAUCUGAACAACAUAAUAGAACCCAUAUUAAAGAAAAAUAACUGAAAGGAUUAAACUGGUCCAUCUUUUUUGGCAUGUUAUAUAACCAGCAUGAACUAUCUCACUAGUUAUGUUUUGUAUAACUAGCAUGAACACACACACACACACACACACACACACACACACACACACAAUGCUGAUCAUAUUUUUAUUUUAUGAGAGAAUUGCAUUCAGAAAUGCAAGCUGCCUUACUUUCGAGGGGCUGAUGCGGUUUCUUCUCCGAGUUUGACUGUGUGUGUGGUGUGUGUGUGUGAUGGCUCGGCCCCUCCCUCAUGCCAUAUAAUUGGUUGACACCUCGUGUAUGAGUGACAGGAACAGAAUGUGAGGCUGAUCAGACAGUCGAUGUGCACCUUUAGGCCUAUAUAAUAAGUCAAUUAUUUUAAAUAAAAUAAAAUGCACACAUUAUUUUAUUAUUACAUAAUGAUUUAAUUUCUAUAGGCUAUUUUAAUAGAGUCGGCUCUUCAGAUAUGCGAGCCAGCUCUCGUCGUUCACCUACAAGAGCCGGCUCUUAGAGUCGGCUCAUUCGCGAACGACCCAUCAUGGAAUAAGUUCACUGAAGUUCAAUCAAGACGAGCCUAGAUGGAUCCGCCGAAUCGACGAUCUCAGGUAACCAGUUUUAUUUGUUUUUAUGUUAAAUAUGUCAAAUGUAUCUUAGAAAUGUCUGGGAAGAGGGCGAUUGGAUUAUUUUACAUAUAAAUUACCUAGACUGUCAACCACAUUGUUCACACUACCUGCCAUGCCCAUUGAAAGUGAGAUUUUUUUUAUAAAAAAACAAAAAAAAAUUAUAAAAAAAAAAAACGAAAAACAGUGCGUUAUUGAUUAUAACACUCAACGCUGCAAUCCGCGAUAAAGAAAACCCAUUGCAGAUGACACUUUUCAUUAAUUUCACAUCACUUCAUUCGUGACAGCCAUAGAUAACAUAAUUUUACUGGGGCAUUUUGCCCCCUUAUCUUUUUCCCCCGAAAUAUUUGUUCAGAUUUGAAUUUAGCAGUUGAUCUCGCUAUGUACUUAAUGUUUAAUCACUGGUGUGAUUGCACGAGACAAUGUGUUAAUUAUCAGACGUAAAAUAUUAUUUUUGCCUUUUGGAAUCGGCUUUCAAAUAUAUUUGGUUAAAAAAUCUCACUUUCAAUGGGCAUGGCACGUAGUGUGAACAAUGUGGUUGACAGUCUAGGUAAUUUAUAUGUAAAAUAAUCCAAUCGCCCUCUUCCCAGACAUUUCUAAGAUACAUUUGACAUAUUUAACAUCAAAACAAAUAAAACUGGUUACCUGAGAUCGUCGAUUCGGCGGAUCCAUCUCGGCUCGUCUUGAUUGAACUUCAGUGAACUUAUUCCAUGUGUUCCAUGUGCGGUUCAAUAUCAACCAAUACGAUUCCAUGUACGAUGGCGCGUUUUCAUUGGUCAUUCGUUGAAGCCUAUUUCUGAUUGGUUGUUGCCGUUUUGACAGCGUUUAUGCCAAGAGGAAAAAGAAAGAAUUCGAAGAGAAGAGUACUUGGCCAUGCGUGAACGCACGGGACACAGUCUAAGCACAUACACGCUACUUCAAGCGAAGAGGAGAGAUUCGCGAUUGCACUGAACACGUUUUAAGUGCAGGUAUACUCUCUGAGCGAGCCCAGAGAAAAUUCUUACAAGAGCAACGUGUAUCUGAGAGCGCGCGCCCAGUUCCCGCGCGCGAGCAGAGAGAUUCGCGCUCCGCACAUUAUAUUAAUGUACUUUCGCGCUACAAUAAUGCGCUCUCGACAUUUGACAGGGAAAUAACGCCAUAAACACACUGAUCAGAUAAUAUUCCAUUCAGAAGCCCGUUUGCACUUGUAUUUUCAAUGUGAACAAAGUCCGUAAACAGGUCUCAUGUUAAUCCUAAGUGCAACCUAUAUCAGCAUUAUAUCAGCUAUUGGCUCUCUUGCUAUCAAUAGCUGCAUUUCCAUUAACCUUCAAAUUGCGCAAAUUGAAAUUGCAAAU